CAUUCAUUGAUUAGCAGCUGGUAUCCACAUGUAAGUAUAAUAUUCUUUUCCUUAUUUUCAGAAAUUCUUUUCUUUAUUUUCAGAUAUUCCAAAAAAAUUGAUGGCAUAAUUCGGGUAAUUUAAAACUGUAUCGUUCUACUUCUUUAUUUUCAUCUUAUUAAUAUAUUUCAAUUUUCUUUUCAGGUAAACUAACAUACUAACACAAAACAAUGAAACCAAAAAAAAAAAAUACUAUUAAAAAUAUAAACACCGGGACUUGGGCUGGAAGUGGUGACUCCAUUGGUAAUAAAAGCCCCUCCCUAUAUGCAUUUGUUGAGCACUGGAGCCGGCCAAUUCUUAACGGCAAAGUGCUCGCUUCAGAUGCCUCACACUACUACUAAAAUAGCAUAUCAGCCGGCCAAUACUUAACGGCAAAGUGCCUGCUGGAUGCUUCCAAAAAAAAUCAAUUUUAAAGAGCAUCAAAGCCGUCCAAUUCUUAAUGGAAAAGUGUCCGUUUGAUGGAUCUUUAAAAAAAAAGUGGAUAUAUACAAUGCCAAAUGAACCUAUAACCAAAAUUUCAUGAUUCUAGCUUUAACGGUUUGGGCUGGGCGAUGAUGAAUCAAUCAGUCACGCAAGCCUUUUAUAUAUAGAUUGAGAGAAGGAGAAUGGAUAGUUAGCUGCUGGUUUCAUACCUACAUCCUGUACAAAAAUAUUUUAACAGAUUAAAGUCUACUAAACUCACCUGCAAACAAAUCAACUGUAGUAAUGGGCGUCACAACAGUAUUACAUUCGACACCAUUACAACUGGAACCAUUUUUUUCUUUUCCGUACACUAUCCACGGUGAACCAGAAUUCAACGAACACAUAAAUCCUAUGUCGCAAAACAGAAUUUGGAUGUAAAACCAUUUCUCUUCUGCAGGGCGAUUUAAUACGAUUAACCUUAGAAUCCAAUACGCAUAUAUUAGGAUACAUCCCACCAACAAGGGCGGCUUUAUUGACAGAACAAUUCGAUUUGAGAUUUAUAUAAUGCAUACUAAGAUCAACUUUGCUAUAUAUUAAUUGUGAUGAUCUUAAGGAUCCAACCAAUUGAGUACGGAUAUUGCAGUCCUGUUCCAACAGGCCAUUCAAAAUGAAAUUAUAUUAAAAUCAAAAACCAAUUCCUCAUUUCUAAAGUUAUUUUUCCAUUCUUGAUACAGACGUAAGAAUAUCAAGUGAUCGGAAGGAAUACCUUCAAAUAAACGUUGUUUUUCUUCUUUUAUAUUAUGACGCAAUAAAUCUUUGAAGGGUUCAUUUAAAUGAUUCAUAUAGUAUGACAACUCUAAGGGAUCUAUAGUCGACAUAAAGCCCACAAUGGUUAGUACCGGAACCAAACAUAGCAACAAAGUAGCAAUCACCAUAUUUUGGCUCUUUGCUUGAUAAUAUACGAAUUUCGACUAGCCACUACCGAUGGGCGUCAACUUUUUUCUAUUAUGGAUUAUUUCAUGGCAGAAUAAUUUGUCCAGUUUGUUUUUUCAACUUUAGCAGUCGUUUUCAAAACAAUAACAAAAAGCCAUCACUAUACCCCCAAAGAAUAUCAAGAAGAUCUACAUAUGUCACAUUUAAAGC
Molecule: long non-coding RNA, 1584 nt
Organism: Lucilia sericata (common green bottle fly)
Lineage: Eukaryota; Metazoa; Arthropoda; Insecta; Diptera; Calliphoridae
Exons: 4
Source: RefSeq, a predicted model, not a curated record